This 253-nucleotide ribosomal RNA is filed under the name uncultured bacterium. RNAcentral's name for it is "partial 16S ribosomal RNA". It matches the Rfam family "Bacterial small subunit ribosomal RNA", at positions 524 to 776 of the family's 1533-position model. The record is from RNAcentral.
UACGGAGGGUGCAAACGUUGCUCGGAAUCAUUGGGCGUAAAGCGCGCGUAGGCGGUCUUGUAAGUCGGAUGUGAAAGCCCUCGGCUCAACCGAGGAAGUGCACCCGAAACUGCAAGACUUGAGUGUCGGAGAGGGUGACGGAAUUCCCGGUGUAGCGGUGAAAUGCGUAGAGAUCGGGAGGAAGGCCGGUGGCGAAGGCGGCGCUCUGGAACAUUUCUGACGCUGAGGCUCGAAAGCGUGGGGAGCAAACAGG